This 980-nucleotide long non-coding RNA is filed under the name Marmota monax (woodchuck). Lineage: Eukaryota; Metazoa; Chordata; Mammalia; Rodentia; Sciuridae. The record is from RNAcentral.
ACAAAGGGUAAGGAAUGGAGUGAAUAUUGGGAAGGCAACUAACCAUGUCAUCCUCACCAGGAAACCUGGUCUUGAUGUCAGACAGGCAUUGAUUUGUGCAGAAGCAGAUGUGCAGACUCUGCAUUGCCUAGUACACUGACCUAUGUGAUCAAAAGUCCAUGUGUUAUUUUGAAAAUCAUUUCAGAAAACUCCAAACUAGUAAGUAGACAAUCACUUGAAAGAUGUCAAGGUCCUCUAUCUGGAGAAGCAAUUGAGAGCCAAGGCUCAGGUGUGGUAUGUGUGGGGUGCUCUUUCUUAGGGUGCUGUGCAUGGUAGCAGGGGGCAGACACAUCAGUUAUGUGUAGGAAGACUGCCGGGAAUGAAGCCAUCAGAUCAUGUUCACGAGGCUCACACAAAGGGGCUGCAUGGAAGUAGAACUAAACUAUGAAAUUCAUGUUGAGGGAGUCUUGAGGAAUAAGACAGAAUAGUAAGAAGGUGGUGAAUAAGUAGGAGGGAGGAAGCUUUAAGACAUUUCAGAAAUAAUGUAAAAAUGCCAGUAAAACACUUGUAAAUGCUCAGAGUGCAUGGGCAGACCAAUGAAAGAAAAAUACAAUUCAAUGCAAUUAUCUAUGAUGUCAAAGUUUUUAUUAUCAAGUUCUUGAGUGUGUAUGAAAUUUGUGUGAAUUUUUGUUUCUUUUUUUCUUUUUAUACUGGGGAUUGAACCCAGAGGAGCUUAACCAUGAGCCACAUUCCCAGCCCUUUUUAUUUUUUAUUUUGAGACAGGAUCUUGCUAAGUUGCUAAGGCUGACUUUGCUCUUGAUUUAGCCUCCUGAUUUGCCUCUUGAUCUGCUGGGAUUACAGGCAUGUGCCACCAUGCCAGGUUUUGUAUGAACUCUUCUUAUCCUUCAAGUAUUAGAUUAAAUAUUUCUUCUCCAGAGAUACUUUGAUCAGAAUUUCUUCUACCCUCUAUUAUUUCUUUAUUACUGUACUUCAUAUCAAAG